Molecule: long non-coding RNA, 6147 nt
Filed under: Sus scrofa (pig)
Lineage: Eukaryota; Metazoa; Chordata; Mammalia; Artiodactyla; Suidae
Description: lncRNA (ENSSSCG00025025967.1)
Source: RNAcentral
CAGGAACCGAGCACCCAUCUGUAGCAGACCCACUGGGGGCAGGGAGCUGCUGGCUCCCUUCCCUGUGCCUGAGCUCCCACCUUCACAACUUCAUGCCCAGCACAUGGCCUGCCAACCUCAUCUCAGGUCUUUUCUUUGGGGGAAGUCUUGUUCUGCCGCCUUCUGUCCUAACCACAUCCCUGUGGGAGGGGUGGUGUAUUCAGCCCUCAGUGGGGUCCAGUUGUCCAGCCAGUCCUGGGAGCAUACUGAUCCCUGGCUCAGAACCCUGCCAUGGCUCCCCAAUGCCCGCCAGGUCCAACCCAAACCCCUGGUCCUGGGCCUCCCCUGCUCCAGGGAUCUCCACUUUGAGGAGAGGUGAGGGUGCCCUCUGGAGCCAGGCAUCCUGGUUUGAAUGCCAGUUCUGUGUGACCUCAGGCAAGUCGCUUAACCUUGCUGUGCCCCAGCGUCCUGCCUCACAGAGCUGUUGUGAGAAUUACAUAGGUUUAUAUAUGCAAAGCAUUUAGCACAGCACCUGCUCUGCAAGAAAGUUGUCAAUAAAUGAUAGCUGGAAAGGAUGUCUGUUUCCUGCCAGAAAGGACCUGAGAAAUGUCCUCCAAUGGGGCUUGUGGCUCAGCUCUCAGCUCUGGCCUUUCAGACUGAGCCAGCAGCUUCCAGGCCACCUGGGAGCUGGCUGGAGACUCAGAGUGCCAGGCCCCCUGGGGGUCCUAAAGCAGCAGGUGGGGGGAGGGGCCUGUACACUGUGGCCUGUAGCCAUUUGUGGGGUGGGAGUCCCCUAAGCCCCCAUCCCAGCCUCAGACUGGUCCACCACCUGCAUCCUCUGUCUUCUGGCCUUGCCAAGGCCCCUCUGCCUUGCAAGGCUCCUGCAGGAAGAAUGCCUGUCAACUCUGCCACCUCAGUGCCCACAGCUCCUAUUUUCCUAGAGCCUCAGUUCCUCAAGAAGAAAGGGAAUAAAAACACCCACAUCCAGGGAGGUCAGGGAUGAGCAGUGCACCACCGAGGCAGCCAGUCAGGGCUGAGUAUUGCUACUGGCUGCACCCCAGGCCUGGUGGGUCCCACCUGCCAUGCUGGAGUCCCCGCAGGGAUGAGGGAAAGACCUGUUGCUGGAGGGGGGCUGGGAUGAACUCUGGGAGCUGAGAGGGAGCACAGUGACCUGGGAUGAACUCUGGGAGCUGAGAGGGAGCACAGUGACUGGAGCCGGAGGGUGGCUGGUGCUUCCCCAAAGCGGCCUGAAUGAGGGAGGAAGGAAGGGAGGGCGAGCUGAGCACACCCUGGGCCCCAGAGGAAGUUGAAAGCCAGGGCCGUGGUGUGACAGUUCAAGGGCCCUAUACCACAGCGCUCCACUCCACCCGCACCUGCUGACGUCAGUGGGAAGUGCAGGACCCCGGCACCCCACCCCACUGGCUCUGGGUCUGUGAGGCAGGGUCCCAGCCUGGAGCCUCCCCCGGCUCAUCUCUGCACAGGUGGGGGGCUGGUGGUCCCUUGUGUCUUUAGGUCAGCAUUGCCCUCUCCCUGAAUGAAAGGAGCACCUCUUCAUCUCACCCCAUGGGCUCACCUCUCCCAGGUGUGACCCUAGAGUCUAUUAAACACCUGUUAUAUACCAGGUGGUGACACAUCCACAAGCUCAUUUAAUCCUUCACAAUACCCAGAGGAAGGCAUUUUACAGAUAAGGAGACCACCUCAGAGAGGUUCAGUAACCUGCCUGAGGUUGCACAGCUUGGAGGUGGCCCAGCUGGCCUUCCAACGCAGGCCCCCCGACAUGGAGUUCCUCCCGCCACCUGUGGGCAGGUGGAUUCAUGGUGGAGGUGCCCUCAGGGAGCCGGAGCAGCCGGCCCUCUUGUUUGUCAAGGAGGAAAUGGACACCCAGCACUGGGAGUGAGUGCCCCAGGCCAUGCCACAGGCUCCUGGCAGAACCAGGCAGGAUUAGAGAACUUUCUUUUGGCACUGCCUGCCUGGUAGGAGGGGCUCUGCCGGGAAGUCUCCUUCCUUUACUGCCUCUGGGUCUCUGCUCAGAGGCUACCUCCACAGAGAGAAGCUUUUCGGGGCAGUUCCAGCAGAAGGAGAGCCCUGUCACCCUCAUCUCCUGGCCCCGCUUUAUUUUCUUUCAUGGCACUUAUACUGUCACUUGCAGUUUUAUGUGUCCAGUGAUUUGUUUAUUGUCUCCCGCCUUCCCUGCGACUAGAAUGUGAGCACCGUGACUCCAGCAGGGUCUGUCUUGUUCCCUUGCUUACACUGGUACCUGGCACACACUCAGCAGUGUUUUGUGGAAUGAAUGAAUGACCGAAUGAGAGGAGUCAGUAGGUAAAGGAUGAAGCUGAUGCUUACGGGGCAAGUUUGGUGUGAAGACAAACUUCUUAAUGGCAAGCUAAAUAGAUCCUUCUAGGUGGAGGAGGGGAAUGAGCAAUAAUUUAGAAAAGGGAAGAGGCCACGUACAGCCAUGCGGUCUGGUACACAGACCAUAAAGUGAGUGGUCCCCGCCCCCCGCCAGUUGUACAGUUCUCAACUCGUACAGCAGUACCUGGCACCCCAGGGGAUGGGGAAGAACCCGACAGUCGUGGGCCCCUCGGCGGGGAUGAGUGGAGGCAGCUCUGCAGGUGCCUGCAGCUGGAGGAACAGGCUGUACCUUCCACGAGGACGCCACGUGGUCGUGGUUAGCAGUUUGCCAUCCGGUGGCGUUGUCACCACAGACAGUGGUCCAACCAGGGGGAGCAACUGUUAUGCUGUUAGCAAUCUCUGGUGCCUGGAGUGCCCAGCGGGACGCGGGUGGGGAAACCACCUUGACACACCCCACAAACACCGAACGCGGUGGACGAAGAUAAUCGAGACAGCGGGAGGGAGGGCUGUUUCCUGAGGCAGCUCUGGAGGCGGAGGACACUGUGUUCCGAGACGUCUCCACUGAGCAGAGGGCUGGCUGAGCGACCGGUCUCGGCCUCCCCCCCCUCCCCAGCCCCACAGGCUGGGCACAACAACAAUCAGCCUGUGGUGGUGGGGCCCGGCUUCGAUGAGUCACCUUGCCCACAGCGGGCCUUGCUGGGAGAUGUUAUCAGCGCUUCUGCUCACUUAAUUCCCUGGUUGACAUCACCACCGCCUCCAUCCUUUCCUUCUCGGCACUGCAGCCUGCAGCCUGGCGCAUCCUGGAAGAGAAGGCGGUGCAGGGCUCUUGCCAGGAGCUACCAGGGCGGGUAAAUUAGGACCCUCAGCUCUUUGGCCUUUAGCCUCCGGGCGCUUGGCUUAGUUCCUUGCUGCACACGGGCCUGGGUUCAUCUCCCAGGAAAUGCCGUCUGGAGUCAGGUCUGAGAGACACCGUCCCACCCCCGCCCCGUACCUCUCCCCUCCUUCCUGUUCAGAUGUGGGCCAAGCUGCUCCCCUGGGCAGUGUGUCCAGACCCUGGGGUCCAGUCCCCGAGUCCAGCCCUCCGCUGGCUCAAGCCUUCGCUCCUCAAUUCCAUCUUGUGCAAGCCCAGCUGCCUCUGACUGCGCUGCCUUCCUGUCCAGCCACUCUGCCUGGGGAUACAGCUCCCUCAGACAUCCUCCAGCUCCUUCCUCUGCCACCCCCCGCUCUCGGGGUAGCCUCCUGGGAGCCCAAGCCAGUCCCUUCCCUCCGUAGCCCAGCAUUCCCUCUCUCCUCCCCUCAAUGUCACUGUUCCAGUGCUGAUCCAGAGUGGUCGGUGGCACACGGAGGAUGCUAUGGGCUCAGCAGAGUGGUGAGUGACAGGGGUGACCAGAGACUGUGCUGUUCCUCCCUUUAGAGACGGACAGCAGGGGGGCGAAGCUCAGGUGCCAGGAGAGAGGCUCAGGACCCGGUCUGUGAUGGGAGGCUGCCUGAGCCUGGCCUGCCAGGGAGGCGGUGAGGGAAGUGGGUGGGGAGGGUGGGGAGAAGAGCCAACCCUUUGAACUGCCCCAAGAGCAGCCUCUGUGGCCCCAGGAGACAGCGCCUCAAAUGUCGCUGCCCCGGGCCAGGGAAGGGGGAAGAGGAGGUUUCUUAACACCAGUCACUUUUACUCUAGUUAUUUGACCAAAACGAAUUGUUCUUAGAAGGAAGAAGAAGAAGAAAAAAACAACAACAAACAAAAAACCAAAAAACCCACCACUGAGGUCACUUCUAUUACCCGAGCAGCUGAGGGAAAGAUCCUGCGAGCAGAUAACGUACCUGGGCCAGGGCUCUCCCCCAGCCCUCACCCCCUGCACAUAAUCUCGCCGCCUGGCCACCCUGCACCCAAACCCCAGCUGCUGCCUUGGCAUCCUGGAAGGUUCUAGAAGGCCGUUCCAAGUAAGGAGGGGUGGGCCCAGGGGGAGGCCUAGAGGAGCAGGCCUGGGCUCAGCCCCACACACCCGGUCUUGCUGGGUCUCUGCUUCCCCAAAUGAGGGGACCCAUUGAGGAACCCUUGGGAUGUUAAACUGUGUGAAAGUGCUUGGCAGUGACCACUAGCCAGCCUUCAGGCUGGGGUCCUGGAGAGAAGGGAAAAGGGAGUUAGGGAGGGUUUCCGAGAAGAGGUUACACCGCAGCAAUUUAGAACAUGAAAUCAGUUGACUACAUCUGCUCUUAGAAUCCUUUAGGUUCCUUUUCUUUUUUCCUUUUCCUUUUUUUUUUUCUUCCCCCUUCGGCUUUCACAGCAUAUGGAAGUUCCCAGGCUAGGGGUGAAAUUGGAGCUGCAGCUGCAGGCCUACACCACAGCCACAGCAACUGGGGAUUCAAGCCUUGUCUGCAACCACCACCGGAUUCCUGACCCACUGAGCGAGGCUAGGGAUCGAACCUGCAUCCUCGCAGAUACUAGUCGGUUUCAUUUCCCCUGAGCCACAACCAGAACUCCUUCGGUUCCUUUUUGACCCCAAAUUUUCUUAUUAAUGCUCUCAGCGAUGUGCACACCUUGAGAAUGAAGGGUGCCAUUGCUGAAGCAGACUCAGCUUGUGUCUGCUCAGACCCCUGGAUCCUUUUUCAAGUUUGAGAACCCAGGGUCCUAGGCUUAGUCUAGUGGGUGUUCUGCUGCAGUACUUCCCUUCUUGGCUGCAGACUAAGCUCAAAUUCUAGUCAACCCUGCCCGCUUUCCUCAGAGUGUAGCCUGAUUUUGGCUGUGGUUUGAGCUCUUUUCCCCUCUACCCCUGAGCCCCCAACUCACCUACAUUUACAGAGCACACGCUUACCUCAAACGCCUUUAUCCCAGACGGAACCUGCUGUCUUUCUCUCACGAGUCCCUUCCUUCUCUUGGGUGCUAAGAUCUUAGUUUGUGGUAAGACUCCCCACCCCUGAAGCCAGAGGCUGAGUCAUCCUUGACCACAGCCUUCUGUCCACCUCAUCUGAUGAGCCAUCUCAUCUGGCGGAUUCUAACACUGGUAUCUUGAGUCUUCAUCCCCUCUUCCCCAUGCCUCCUGCCCCCCAGUUUUUGUAAUAGUUGAGAGCCUCAUCUCUUAAGAAAGGCCAGGAGAACCAACUGGAUCUCCUGGGCCGUCCUCCAAACAGCUGAUGUGAUGGCACCCGCCCCUCCAGGUGGCUCCCGCCUGCCUCUCUGCCCUCAUGUCGCAGCACUGCAGGACGGGAACAGCCCGCGGGCCUGCUGGAGACGGCCAGGCUAGAAUGGCUUCCUUACAUCCGCUCAGGCUGCUGGGACAGCCCUUCCCUUCCCGUCAGCCUGCAGAGCGUCCCCCUCCUCCAGGAGGCAGGCCUCCGACUGGAUGUCUUAGUCUUUUCCAGGAUCUCCUGGCACACACUGCUGGGUCCUGGGUACAUUUAUUGUCCUAUCUCCUUGACAGCAGCUCCAGGCCUCAGGAGGGAAUACCUGCACCACCUCCUUCCCUGGUUGUCGCUAGGGUUCCAUGCAGUACCAUGUGCAAAGCCCUGUGCCUGGGGUAUAGAGCUGGCGCCCAGUACAAAGGGCAAUUGUGGUUGCUGUUAUCACCAUCGUGGGGUACCGUCUUUCCAGAUUCCAGUUUCUAGGUUUUCACUCGUUCUUGUGGCAGCCAUGAAGGGGUGGUGGUUACAAGCGUGUGAACUCUGGAAUUAGACAGAUUGGAGCCGUGUCGUAGCUUCUCCCCUUACGAAUGGUCACAGGAGCAAAGCCCUCUGAGCCUCAGUUUGUUCAUCUGUAAAAUGAGGACAGUCAUUGUAACGAUCUAAGAGCUCGAUUGUGAAGAUUAAAUUGAGGAAGUGACAAAA